UCCGUAGGUGAACCUGCGGAAGGAUCAUUACAGAAAGUAAACGCGGGUCAAACCGUGAACUUUUAAACCUUUGACGAUUGACUCACGUUGCCUCGGCGGGUUCGCCCGCCAGAGGAUACAUCAAAACUCCUGUUUCAACGGUGUUGUCUGAGCUACAAGCAAUGAAUUAAAACUUUCAACAACGGAUCUCUUGGUUCUGGCAUCGAUGAAGAACGCAGCGAAAUGCGAUAAGUAGUGUGAAUUGCAGAAUUCAGUGAAUCAUCGAAUCUUUGAACGCACAUUGCGCCCCUUGGUAUCCCGAGGGGCAUGCCUGUUCGAGCGUCAUUUCACCAUUCAAGCCUGGCUUGGUGUUGGGCGACGUCCCCUUGGGGACGCGCUUCGAAACGCUCGGCGGCGUGGCACCGGCUUUAAGCGUAGCAGAAUCUUUCGCUUUGAAAGUCGGGGCCCCGUCUGCCGGAAGACCUACUUCAAGGCUGACCUCGGCUCAGGUAGGGAUACCCGCUGAACUUAAGCAUAUCAAUAAGCGGAGGA
This 531-nucleotide ribosomal RNA is filed under the name Cenococcum geophilum. Its description in RNAcentral is "eukaryotic LSU rRNA". The stretch from base 171 to 324 matches the Rfam family "5.8S ribosomal RNA". Lineage: Eukaryota; Fungi; Ascomycota; Dothideomycetes; Gloniales; Gloniaceae. The record is from RNAcentral.